Molecule: ribosomal RNA, 473 nt
Filed under: uncultured bacterium
Lineage: Bacteria
Description: bacterial SSU rRNA
Rfam family: Bacterial small subunit ribosomal RNA
Source: RNAcentral
GAUGAACGCUAGCGGCAGGCCUAACACAUGCAAGUCGAGGGGCAGCAUGGCGUAGCGAUACGCUGAGUGGCGACCGGCGCGACGGGUGCGUAACGCGUAUGCAACCUGUCCGGCGCGAGGGGGGUAGCCCGUCGAAAGGCGGGGUAAUCCCGCAUGAACCGGUAUUCCCGCAUGGGGGUGCCGGCAAAGUGGAGACGCGGGGCCGGAGGGGCAUGCGUGCCAUUAGCUGGCUGGAGGGGUAACGGCCCACCAGGGCGAUGAUGGCUAGGGGGUCUGAGAGGAUGGUCCCCCACACUGGUACUGAGACACGGACCAGACUCCUACGGGAGGCAGCAGUGAGGAAUAUUGGGCAAUGGGGGAAACCCUGACCCAGCAACGCCGCGUGAAGGAAGAAGGUUUUCGGAUUGUAAACUUCUGUCCUUGGUGAAGAGAAGAAGACGGUAGCCAAGGAGGAAGCCCCGGCUAACUACGUG